GCCGAAAUAGCUCAGUUCGGAGAGCGUUAGACUGAAGAUCUAAAGGUCCCUGGUUUGAUCCCAUGUUUCCACA
This 73-nucleotide transfer RNA is filed under the name Salmo salar (Atlantic salmon). It matches the Rfam family "tRNA". Rfam says of the family: Transfer RNA (tRNA) molecules are approximately 80 nucleotides in length. Their secondary structure includes four short double-helical elements and three loops (D, anti-codon, and T loops). The record is from Rfam by way of RNAcentral. Lineage: Eukaryota; Metazoa; Chordata; Actinopteri; Salmoniformes; Salmonidae.